Molecule: ribosomal RNA, 468 nt
Filed under: uncultured bacterium
Lineage: Bacteria
Description: partial 16S ribosomal RNA
Rfam family: Bacterial small subunit ribosomal RNA
Source: RNAcentral
GACGAACGCUGGCGGCGUGCUUAACACAUGCAAGUCGAACGGAAAGGCCCUGCUUUUGUGGGGUUCUCGAGUGGCGAACGGGUGAGUAACACGUGAGUAACCUGCCCUUGACUUUGGGAUAACUUCAGGAAACUGGGGCUACUACCGGAUAGGAGCUCCUGCUGCAUGGUGGGGGUUGGAAAGUUUCGGCGGUUGGGGAUGGACUCGCGGCUUAUCAGCUUGUUGGUGGGGUAGUGGCUUACCAAGGCUUUGACGGGUAGCCGGCCUGAGAGGGUGACCGGCGACAUGGGGACUGAGAUACGGCGCAGACGCGUACGGGAGGCAGCAGUGGGGAAUAUUGCACAAUGGGAGGAAGCCGGAUGCAGCAACGCCGCGUGCGGGAUGACGGCCUUCGGGUUGUAAACCGCUUUCGCCUGUGACGAAGCGUGAGUGACGGUAAUGGGUAAAGAAGCACCGGCUAACUACGUG